GUGGGGAAUUUUGGACAAUGGGCGCAAGCCUGAUCCAGCAAUGCCGCGUGCAGGAAGAAGGCCUUCGGGUUGUAAACUGCUUUUGUACGGAACGAAACGGUCCUGGCUAAUAUCCGGGGCUAAUGACGGUACCGUAAGAAUAAGCACCGGCUAACUACGUGCCAGCAGCCGCGGUAAUACGUAGGGUGCGAGCGUUAAUCGGAAUUACUGGGCGUAAAGCGUGCGCAGGCGGUGCUGUAAGACAGGCGUGAAAUCCCCGGGCUCAACCUGGGAACUGCAUUUGUGACUGCAUCGCUGGAGUGCGGCAGAGGGGGAUGGAAUUCCGCGUGUAGCAGUGAAAUGCGUAGAUAUGCGGAGGAACACCGAUGGCGAAGGCAAUCCCCUGGGCCUGCACUGACGCUCAUGCACGAAAGCGUGGGGAGCAAACAGGAUUAGAUACCCGGGUAGUCC
This 450-nucleotide ribosomal RNA is filed under the name uncultured bacterium. Its description in RNAcentral is "partial 16S ribosomal RNA". It matches the Rfam family "Bacterial small subunit ribosomal RNA", at positions 354 to 796 of the family's 1533-position model. The record is from RNAcentral.